This 63-nucleotide microRNA precursor is filed under the name Seriola lalandi dorsalis. RNAcentral's name for it is "miRNA (ENSSLDG00000024713.1)". It matches the Rfam family "mir-182 microRNA precursor family", at positions 12 to 73 of the family's 77-position model. The record is from RNAcentral. Lineage: Eukaryota; Metazoa; Chordata; Actinopteri; Carangiformes; Carangidae.
UUUGGCAAUGGUAGAACUCACUCUGGUGGGCUGGAAGGAUCCGGUGGUUCUAGACUUGCCAAC